GGCAACCCACUCAGAUUCCGUUUCAUAGUGUGGAGGUUUUGUUCUUUCACUCUGCAGUAAAUCUUACUGCUGCUCAGUGUUUGGGUCUGUGCUACCUUUAUGAGCUGUAACACUCACGGUGGAAGCCUGCAGUCUCACUCCUGAGGCCAGGGAGACCACGAACCCACCAGGAGGAAUGAACAACUCCGGAGGCGCAGACUUAAGAGCUGUAACACUCACCGCGAAGGUCUGUAGUUUCACUUUUGAACCAGCGAGACCAUGAACCCGCCAGAAAGAAAAAACUGCCAACACAGCCGGACAUCAGAAGGAACAAACUGGGGACACGCUGCCUUUAAGAAACAUAACAGGCACCGUGAGGGUCCACGGCUUCAUUCUUGAAGUUAGUGAGACCAAGAACCCACCUAAUCCCGGGCACAAAACCACCUCAAUCUCCCAAAGACCGAAAGCCCUGGUGUCGCUGGGACCAGAGUUCUGGAGGCUGGAUGUCCAAGAUGAAGGCACUGCUAAACUCUGCAUCUGGAGAGGGUGGUUUCCUGAUUCACGGACAAUGUCUCCUCCCUGUGUCCUCACAUGGCCUCUACUCUGUGCGCACCUGGAGAGAGAGCGCCCCGUCCCUCCCUCUUCUGAUGAGGUCACCAGCCCUAUCAGAACUUUUUCUGAGAGCCUAUCGUGUCCAUGGAGAGCAGCUGAGGUAAAUCCUGGAGGUGACUGUCCCCCUAGGAGAUGAUGUGGAUGGGGAAAUAGUUCAUACGCAGCUCAGCGACCUUGAAGCGGCAUCCGAGGAGAUGUGGCCACGGGGCAGGCGACCGACACCAGCGAGUCCAGAGGGCCAGCGUGUGCACCACUGUGUGUCUCCAGAGACUUCAGGAAGCAGCCACCACGCCCGAGGAAUGCAGGAAGAUGGACACACGGCUGGGGAAGUACAAUGAAAGGCCAAGUAGGCAGCCUGUUCUCCUCAGAUCAGUCCCCCACGAACACUCAUUCCCGAGGACUCAUCCAAUACUAAUAAGAGAAUGCUCUUGUUUUUGAAGAAUUUUCUGAAAGCCAUCCUGACAAAUUAAGUAGAGUAUGCUGAAGAUAGUCAGACUUUGUUUUUAAGAAUUGAAUAUUCUGGAAGAGGCUCUUCAGUCCAAUCUUUAGUUCUCUCCACAGAGCAAACGAAGUGAAGUGCUGAAGGCCUGGAGCCCGAGCUGUUCCCACACGGACUCCAGGACAGUUAAGGCAGGGUUGCCUUAACUAAAUCUCUGACAACUGUUUCUUCUGUCUUUCUCCUAAAAAUGGAAUGCAGGCCAUCUAUUCUAGGGAAAUAAAGGAUUCUAGUUAUGUGAA
This 1329-nucleotide long non-coding RNA is filed under the name Homo sapiens (human). RNAcentral's name for it is "non-protein coding lnc-PTPN2-2:11". Lineage: Eukaryota; Metazoa; Chordata; Mammalia; Primates; Hominidae. The record is from RNAcentral.